Molecule: long non-coding RNA, 249 nt
Filed under: Vigna radiata
Lineage: Eukaryota; Viridiplantae; Streptophyta; Magnoliopsida; Fabales; Fabaceae
Description: long non-coding RNA (VRAD_LNC005051)
Source: RNAcentral
UUAUUUUUUUUAAAUGAAUAGGCCGCGGUUAAGUGUAGAACCGCGGCCUAUUCCCCCUUUAUGCCGCGGUUAAGUGUAGAACCGCGGCAGAUUCUGUUCUGAAGGUUAAAAUCAAUCAGAACAGUUUUCAUCUUCUCCACGCGAUUCUGAACUCUGCCUCUGCAAAAACACGAAAACGCUCCGCCAUCUUUGUCUUUGUCGUCGCGCCGUCCACCGUUGCGCCCUCCGUUCCUCCGUUCGUCGUUCUGC